Long non-coding RNA from Fundulus heteroclitus (mummichog), 692 nucleotides. RefSeq lists it as uncharacterized. The record is from RefSeq and is a predicted model, not a curated record. The transcript has 2 exons. NCBI's taxonomy places the organism in Eukaryota, Metazoa, Chordata, Actinopteri, Cyprinodontiformes, Fundulidae.
AGGAGCAGCGGAGGAGGAGGAGGAGCAUUCUGGGUGUUUUCAGCUGCAGAAGGAGAUCAACAUGGAGUCUGUGAGCAGGAGGAACAUGGACAGGAUUUACUCUGCGGUCCUGCUGGCCGUGGUGGUGCUGUCCUGGUCCUACGUGAUCUACGCCAGCAGGAUUGCUGCCUCCUGGCUGCUGGAGAGGAGGACCGCGCUGCUGCAGGAGGACUGACGCUGCCGCCGUUCUGGUUCUGGACCAGAAGCCACCAGCUGGUUCUGAAGGAACCAACGGGAGGGUUCUGUUUGUCUGGCCUGAGCAGGUCCAGACCCACAGCGAUGAGCAGACCCUCUGCGUGGAGACUCAGGGUUCUGGACCAGUUGUUCCUGUGGACGUGUCUUUGUUUCAGAUUCCCCUUCAGUGCAGAUAAAGAACCCGUUCUCCUCCAGGAGGAGAACCAGCCUGCUGCUGGUGGACUCUGACCCAAAGCGUGGCCCCCGGGGGCCGACUGUGGCUCCUGGACUGAUUCUGAGCGGUCCUCCUGCUGAGGUCCAGGUGGUCGCCUCAGAUGGAGGCUUUAUUUCACAGAUGAGUUAAAAUGAUGAUGCUGUCAGGAUAAAUAACUAAGAGCUCAGACAGGACGUGACGCGCUGCAGAUGUUCUUAUACAUGUUUAAAAAACGAAUAAAAGCCAAAAGAUGCUGAAGAAAGUC